This 445-nucleotide ribosomal RNA is filed under the name Dialister invisus. Its description in RNAcentral is "bacterial SSU rRNA". It matches the Rfam family "Bacterial small subunit ribosomal RNA", at positions 28 to 442 of the family's 1533-position model. The record is from RNAcentral. Lineage: Bacteria; Bacillati; Bacillota; Negativicutes; Veillonellales; Veillonellaceae.
GACGAACGCUGGCGGCGUGCUUAACACAUGCAAGUCGAACGAAAAGAGGGGAAGAGCUUGCUCUUUCCGGAAUUGAGUGGCAAACGGGUGAGUAACACGUAAACAACCUGCCUUCAGGAUGGGGACAACAGACGGAAACGACUGCUAAUACCGAAUAAGUUCCAAGGACCGCAUGGCCCAUGGAAGAAAAGGUGGCCUCUACCUGUAAGCUAUCGCCUGAAGAGGGGUUUGCGUCUGAUUAGCUGGUUGGAGGGGUAACGGCCCACCAAGGCGACGAUCAGUAGCCGGUCUGAGAGGAUGAACGGCCACACUGGAACUGAGACACGGUCCAGACUCCUACGGGAGGCAGCAGUGGGGAAUCUUCCGCAAUGGGCGAAAAGCCUGACGGAGCAAACGCCGCGUGAGUGAUGACGGCCUUUCGGGUUGUAAAAACUUCUGUGAUUCC